This is a long non-coding RNA of Brassica oleracea var. oleracea, 314 nucleotides long. RefSeq lists it as uncharacterized. The transcript has 2 exons. The record is from RefSeq and is a predicted model, not a curated record. Lineage: Eukaryota; Viridiplantae; Streptophyta; Magnoliopsida; Brassicales; Brassicaceae.
UGCGAAGCAGUACCAUGGUGUAAAGAAGCUCGAAAAGGUUUCACUAGGAGAGUUGAACAACUAUAUUCUGGAGUCACCCCCGCAAGCCCUUGAGUUUCUAUGCAAAGCCAAGAUCGCAUCACUGGAAACUACAAACGGAUGGUGAUACAUCUCCUGUGCUAAAUGCAAGAAGCUCCAGCGAGGGAACUCUUCAUUCACAUGCCCUACAUGUUUUAAUGCCAGUGUUGUUGGAGUUGUCAGGUUCGGUUCACAUAUCUAUAUUAAACUUGCUCAUUAGAAACAGCCUUUUGUUAUUUGUGCCAACUAUUUGGAAA